RNAcentral lists this ribosomal RNA (279 nucleotides) under uncultured bacterium. Its description in RNAcentral is "partial 16S ribosomal RNA". It matches the Rfam family "Bacterial small subunit ribosomal RNA", at positions 506 to 784 of the family's 1533-position model. The record is from RNAcentral.
UGCCAGCAGCCGCGGUAAUACAGAGAUGGCAACCGUUGUUCGGAAUCACUGGGCUUAAAGAGCACGUAGGCGGAGUAUUAAGUUGAUUGUGAAAGCCCCGGGCUCAACCUGGGAACUGCAUUCGAUACUGGCAGACUAGAGUAUAGAAGAGGCAAGUGGAAUUCCGGGUGUAGCGGUGAAAUGCGUAGAUAUCCGGAGGAACAUCAGUGGCGAAGGCGACUUGCUGGUCUAAUACUGACGCUGAGGAGCGAAAGCGUGGGGAGCAAACAGGAUUAGAUA